Molecule: long non-coding RNA, 1978 nt
Organism: Cucumis melo (muskmelon)
Lineage: Eukaryota; Viridiplantae; Streptophyta; Magnoliopsida; Cucurbitales; Cucurbitaceae
Exons: 3
Source: RefSeq, a predicted model, not a curated record
CUUCUUUUAUUGUUACAACAAAAACCGUCCCUUUACAUCUUCUCUCCCGUUUCAAAUUUCUUCCACAACCUUCCUCUCUAACGGCUAACUCCCUCUCCCCUUCUCUCUCGCUCUCUGCUCUUCUUCUUCUUCCUCAGAAUCUUCACUCUUCCUCCUAUCUCUCAAUUUCUACUUCUCUAAAAUGAAGCACGCAGCCAAGAAACCCUAUCUUCCGGGUUGCCAGAUACCCAUCUCGCCGAUCCACCACCAUCUUCUUCUCCUAGCCCUAACGGCGCUUGAUCUACAUGCCUCUGUACUAAUUGAACCAGACGGGAAGCGGGAAGACAAUACCAUCUGGGGUCCACCCAAUGCUUUGUCCGAUGGUUACUGUUUUGUUCUCGAGGUUGGACAACGGUUGCCUUCCACGGUAUGAUCUACAUAUUUUAUCUCUGAGUUCCUUUAAAUUCACUAGAAAAACUUCGUUGCAGAUUUACAAUGACCAAAUCACUGAUUUAUUGAAUCCAAAUGCGAGAAACUCUAGGUUCCCCCUUCUAAACAAUAAAAUGAAAGAGAAGAAUAGAGAACAAAAUGUUGUUCUUGUUCUAUUUCCUGUAAUAUGAAAAACUAAUUUGGUCUUCUGUUGAGUCAUCUCCUCUCUCUCUAAAAAAAUCUCUCUGUGGUUUUCUCUUUCUAAAUACCAUGGAAAAAUUUGGGGGUCAAGAAUGAUUUGAGGGUACAGAAUUCACUCUCUAAAAAACACUCUGAGAUUUAUUUGAAAUUCUUGUUGCUUAAUAAAUUCCCUUUUGCAUCUCUUCAUCCACCCUUCUCUUUAAUCCUGAAUUUUAUGAUAUUUAUUUUGCAUCCUAAAUGCCUCUGUACUAAUUGAGAACCAGACGGGAAGCGGUAAGACAUAUACCAUCUGGGGUCCAGCCAAUGCUUUGUCCGAUGGUUACUGUUCUGUUCUCGAGGUUGGACAAUGGUUGCCUUCCACUGUAUGAUCUACAUAUUUUAUCUAUGAGUUCAUUUAAAUUCGCUAGAAAAACUUCGUUGCAGAUUUACAAUGAGCAAAUCACUGAUUUAUUGAAUCCAAAUGCAAGAAACCUCUAGGUUCCCGCUUCUAAACAAUAAGAUGGAAGAGAAGAAUAGAGAACAAGAUGUUGUUCUUGUUCUAUUCCUGUAAUAUGAAAAAAACUAAUUUGGUCUUCUGUUGAAUCAUCUCCUCUCUCUAAAAAAAUCUCUCCGUAGUUUUAACUUUUUGUGUGUCGGUGAAAUAUUACUAUGGAUAUGGAGUUUAUUAUGAUUUUUGUCUACACCGGCGGUUUUCUAUAUGGUUCAAUGGUGCCUUUGAAUUGACAGAUCAAUGGACGGUAUGUGACUUAAUUAUUUAUCAAGAUUUAUGCUUAAUGCAUUGUUUUUGUUUGUGCGAGGUGAACCAUAUCAAAUUGUUGAGUUUGUUGUAGGUUUAUUAAUGAGAGAGAAUGUCUGGUGGGGUCAGAAUAGCUUUAGAAAUGCAUUGGGAGCUCUGAAGUAUAUACUACCACAGUUUCAUUAGCUAAAGUUAACAAUGAUUAUAAGGAGUUGGACAUUUCUAUAGUUAAGUCAACAAUGAACGUCCUGCGAAGGAAAAACAUAUGAGAGCUAUUUUAGCUACCAAGCCUAGAGCCGAUGUUGCAUAUUGCAUUCAUGCUCUGGCAAGAAGAUUAUCGAAGAAACAUAAUUGGGUAGUAAGUCUUCAUCUUUUGAUAUCAUAAGCAUUACAUUAUUGCAGCACCACGACUUCUCAGGUUUUUCUAUUCUAUUCUUUUUCUUUUAAUAUUUCGGAAUUUGGAUUGUCUAUAUAUAUUGUUGUUGUUUUCGUUUAUCAUUUAUUUUUAUUUUGGAGAGUGUCUAUGGUAAUCUUGAGGUGAUUUAAGAAAAAUUGAUUGUCCGGGAAUCAAUUUUUCUAUAUUACCUUAAUUCUACCUUAAUAGACAAAUAUGUGUGUUUUAAUUUCACUUUA